GUGAAUCAAAUAGAUGAUCUCCAGCUGAAGAACAGAAAGAAAAGCUUUCUCUCUCUUAAGAGACCAUUCCUAGUCUUCAAUGGGAAUAAUAAGAACUCGGUCAGAAACAAGACUAGAAGAUUUCUAACUUCUGCAUUUGAUCGAGGUCCAAAGUGGCAAAGCUGCAGGAGUAUGUACAGAGCAAACAAGACAAUAUUAGAUUAGAUAUUACUUAGAACUAAUUUAUAUAGUCUUUUGCUUGUAGUGUUGGCUAGCAUAGCUGUACAUAUCUGACAGUCCCUGUCUUUCAGAAGGGUUUAGCAUGUCAGAUAAGCUGUGAAAUCUAGGAAAGCUUUCUUCUAUAAUCCCCAACAGAAUGAACCAUUAACAGCAGUUGUAUGCAAUUUCCCCCUAAAAUGAAACCUAAUUGAUUUCAGACAUAUUUUAAAAUUUCUCUGGUCUGCAAUACCAUCGAGUUACCAUUGCUAUAUGGAGCAAUCAGUUCUGGGUUUAAGUAGCCUCUUGCCAAGAGGACUAAAACCAACUACAGAAAAAUAAAAAACAGGAAAACAUUUUGCAGUGAGAUCAGAUAC
RNAcentral lists this long non-coding RNA (572 nucleotides) under Gallus gallus (chicken). Its description in RNAcentral is "long non-coding RNA NONGGAT007164". Lineage: Eukaryota; Metazoa; Chordata; Aves; Galliformes; Phasianidae. The record is from RNAcentral.